This 422-nucleotide ribosomal RNA is filed under the name uncultured eukaryote. RNAcentral's name for it is "SSU rRNA". It matches the Rfam family "Eukaryotic small subunit ribosomal RNA", at positions 592 to 1018 of the family's 1831-position model. The record is from RNAcentral.
CAAUAGCGUAUAUUAAAGUUGUUGCGGUUAAAAAGCUCGUAGUUGGAUUUCUGCUGAGGACGACCGGUCCGCCCUCUGGGUGAGUAUCUGGCUCGGCCUUGGCAUCUUCUUGGAGAACGCAACUGCACUUGACUGUGUGGUGUGGUAUCCAGGACUUUUACUUUGAGGAAAUUAGAGUGUUCACGGCAGGCAAUCGCCUUGAAUAUAUUAGCAUGGAAUAAUAAUAUAGGACCUUGGUUCUAUUUUGUUGGUUUCUAGGACUAAGGUAAUGAUUAAUAGGGAUAAUUGGGGGCAUUUGUAUUAACGCGUCAGAGGUGGAAUUCUUGGAUUGCGUUACGACAAACUACUGCGAAAGCAUUUGCCAAGGAUGUUUUCAUUGAUCAAGAACGAAAGUAUGGGGAUCGAAGACGAUUAGAUACCAU